AAUACUAUUGUUUCAGAUCGUGAUACUAAAUUUCUUAGCCACUUUUGGAGAUGUUUAUGGGCUAAGUUGGGGACUAAACUGCUUUUUAGUACUACUUGUCACCCCCAAACUGAUGGACAAACUGAAGUAGUCAAUAGAACGUUGUCUACUAUGCUUAGGGCUGUUUUGAAGAAUAAUAAGAAAAUGUGGGAGGAAUGCUUGCCUCAUAUUGAAUUUGCUUAUAAUCGUUCAUUGCAUUCUACUACUAAGAUGUGCCCUUUUGAAGUUGUGUAUGGUUUCCUACCUCGUGCACCUAUUGAUUUGUUGCCUCUUCCAUCUUCGGAGAAGGUUAAUUUUGAUGCUAAACAACGUGCUGAAUUGAUUUUAAAAUUGCAUGAGUUAACUAAGGAAAACAUUGAGCGUAUGAAUGCUAAAUAUAAACUUGCUGGAGAUAAGGGUAGAAAACAUGUUGUGUUUGCACCUGGAGAUCUUGUUUGGUUACAUUUGCGUAAGGAUAGAUUUCCUGAUUUGCGCAAAUCAAAGCUAAUGCCACGUGCUGAUGGUCCCUUUAAGGUGUUAGAGAAAAUAAAUGAUAAUGCAUAUAAACUUGAGCUGCCUGCAGAUUUUGGGGUUAGUCCCACUUUUAACAUUGCAGAUUUGAAGCCUUAUUUGGGUGAGGAAGAUGAACUUCCGUCGAGGACGACUUCAUUUCAAGAAGGGGAGGAUGAUGAGGACAUCAAUACAAUUGUUACACCCACAGCCCCUGCUGCUAUACAUACUGGACCAAUUACUAGAGCCCGUGCACGCCAGCUAAAUUACCAGGUACUUUCGUUUCUUGGUAAUGAUUCUAAUGUUCAUGAGAAUAUGAUGCUGCCUAAAUUGGAUACAUUUGUUUUGCUUACAAAUGAAGGGCCUAGCUUGGAGAAGGAUGAACAUUGGAGCAAGAACAAGCAUGGAGAUGAUGGCAUGCGCAAGGGGAACAAGAAC
Molecule: ribosomal RNA, 966 nt
Filed under: Triticum aestivum (bread wheat)
Lineage: Eukaryota; Viridiplantae; Streptophyta; Magnoliopsida; Poales; Poaceae
Description: partial small subunit ribosomal RNA
Source: RNAcentral